Molecule: ribosomal RNA, 398 nt
Filed under: uncultured bacterium
Lineage: Bacteria
Description: bacterial SSU rRNA
Rfam family: Bacterial small subunit ribosomal RNA
Source: RNAcentral
ACUCCUACGGGAGGCAGCAGUGAGGAAUAUUGGACAAUGGAGGCAACUCUGAUCCAGCCAUGCCGCGUGUAGGAAGACUGCCCUAUGGGGUUAGUAAACUACUUUUAUAGAGGAAGAAAUCGCAAUACGUGUAUUGCUCUGACGGUACUCUACGAAUAAGGAUCGGCUAACUCCGUGCCAGCAGCCGCGGUAAUACGGAGGAUCCAAGCGUUAUCCGGAAUCAUUGGGUUUAAAGGGUCCGUAGGCGGGCGUAUAAGUCAGUGGUGAAAGUUGCGGCUCAACCGUAAAAUUGCCAUUGAUACUGUAUGUCUUGAAUAAUUGUGAAGUGGUUAGAAUAUGUAGUGUAGCGGUGAAAUGCAUAGAUAUUACAUAGAAUACCGAUUGCGAAGGCAGAUCAC